RNAcentral lists this ribosomal RNA (815 nucleotides) under Caulobacter vibrioides. Its description in RNAcentral is "bacterial SSU rRNA". It matches the Rfam family "Bacterial small subunit ribosomal RNA", at positions 91 to 942 of the family's 1533-position model. The record is from RNAcentral. Lineage: Bacteria; Pseudomonadati; Pseudomonadota; Alphaproteobacteria; Caulobacterales; Caulobacteraceae.
AUUAGUGGCGGACGGGUGAGUAACACGUGGGAACGUGCCCUUUGGUUCGGAACAACUCAGGGAAACUUGAGCUAAUACCGGAUGUGCCCUUCGGGGGAAAGAUUUAUCGCCAUUGGAGCGGCCCGCGUCUGAUUAGCUAGUUGGUGAGGUAAAGGCUCACCAAGGCGACGAUCAGUAGCUGGUCUGAGAGGAUGAUCAGCCACAUUGGGACUGAGACACGGCCCAAACUCCUACGGGAGGCAGCAGUGGGGAAUCUUGCGCAAUGGGCGAAAGCCUGACGCAGCCAUGCCGCGUGAAUGAUGAAGGUCUUAGGAUUGUAAAAUUCUUUCACCGGGGACGAUAAUGACGGUACCCGGAGAAGAAGCCCCGGCUAACUUCGUGCCAGCAGCCGCGGUAAUACGAAGGGGGCUAGCGUUGCUCGGAAUUACUGGGCGUAAAGGGAGCGUAGGCGGACUGUUUAGUCAGAGGUGAAAGCCCAGGGCUCAACCUUGGAAUUGCCUUUGAUACUGGCAGUCUUGAGUACGGAAGAGGUAUGUGGAACUCCGAGUGUAGAGGUGAAAUUCGUAGAUAUUCGGAAGAACACCAGUGGCGAAGGCGACAUACUGGUCCGUUACUGACGCUGAGGCUCGAAAGCGUGGGGAGCAAACAGGAUUAGAUACCCUGGUAGUCCACGCCGUAAACGAUGAGUGCUAGUUGUCGGCAUGCAUGCAUGUCGGUGACGCAGCUAACGCAUUAAGCACUCCGCCUGGGGAGUACGGUCGCAAGAUUAAAACUCAAAGGAAUUGACGGGGGCCCGCACAAGCGGUGGAGCAUGU